RNAcentral lists this ribosomal RNA (2295 nucleotides) under Triticum aestivum (bread wheat). RNAcentral's name for it is "partial small subunit ribosomal RNA". Lineage: Eukaryota; Viridiplantae; Streptophyta; Magnoliopsida; Poales; Poaceae. The record is from RNAcentral.
AUGCGUACCACCACUGCCGAGCUCCUGCUCAUAUGCGUCCUAGCUGCCGCCAGCUUGCUGGCCUCCGAUGCACAUCAGCUCAGGCCGGCCGGCGGCUCGGUCGGUGCAGGCUGCAUACCGCGGGAGCGGGACGCCCUGCUGACAUUCAAGCGCGGCAUCACCAGCGACCCCAUGGGUGUCCUUGACUCUUGGCACAAGGAAGAUUCCUGUCAGUGGAGGGGCGUCAAGUGCAGCAACCGGACCGGCCAUGUCCUUAAGCUUGAUCUUCGUAGUCUGUAUGUGGGCAUUUUCGAUGAGUACGACACAGCUUUGGUUGGCCAGAUAAGUGAUUCUUUGCUCUCCAUGGAUCGUCUAGUGCACCUUGAUCUUAGCAUGAAUUACCUCGAGGGCCCAAGUGGCCGCAUGCCGGAGUUCUUGGCCUCUUUGACGAGAUUGAGAUAUCUCAACCUCGCCGGCAUACCAUUUUCUGGCAGAGUGCCCCAUCAACUCGGCAACCUCUCAAACUUGCAGCAUCUUGACAUCUCAUGUCAAUUUGAUGGAGAAACCAAUAUGUAUUCAAGAGACAUUUCAUGGGUAGCGCGCAUCCCUAAUUUGCAGUAUCUUGGAAUGAAUUCGGUAAACCUCUGCACAAUGGUUGAUUGGCUUUAUGUUGUGAACAUGAUUCCUUCUUUGAAGGCCCUCGAUCUUGGGUUUUGCUCUCUUCCAGCCAUAGAUCAUUCACUCUCACAUAUUAACCUUACCAAACUCGAGAUGCUUGAUCUCUCCGGCAACAUCUUUGCCCACCCAAUGGCAAGGAGUUGGUUUUGGAAUUUGACAGGCCUCCAGCAUCUCUACCUAGGCGGAGCUCAGUUAUACGGUCAACCUCCUGAUGCACUGGCACAUAUGACGUCCCUCCAAGUCCUUGAUUUGUCAUCUAAUCGUAACAUGGGGACGAUGACUACAAGCUUCAGAAAACUAUGCAAUCUAAGAAUCCUGUACCUUUCUUCUUGUCAAAUUGAUGGAAAUAUAAAGGAUAUUAUAGGGAGGAUGCCCCAGUGUCCCUUGAACAAACUGCAGGAGCUGUAUUUGGGCUCCAACAAUAUUAUCGGAAUCAUGCCGGACCGGACAGCACACUUGACCAGCUUAGUCGUUCUUGACAUCUCUGGGAACAACCUAAGUGGAGGCAUACCACGCGGUGUGGGGCUGCUCACUAGCUUAAGCAGCCUUGAUCUCUCUUGGAACUAUCUCAGUGGACAUGUGCCAUCUGAGAUCAGCAUGCUUGGCAAUUUGACAGUAAUGGAUCUCAGAGGCAACCACUUCAAUGGUGAUUUGACUGAAGAACAUUUUACAAGUCUAACGAGGUUAAAGGUGCUGUCUUUAAGUGAGAAUCCCUUGAGGAUUACAGUUGGUUCCGAUUGGAUACCACCCUUCAGUUUAGAAGGAACGGAUCUUGGCUCUUGCCAACUGGGCCCUUUGUUUCCUGCAUGGCUUCAGUUCCAAGUGGACAUUUGCUGGAUGGAUAUAUCACGCACAGGUAUAGUUGAUAGGCUUCCUGACUGGUUCAGCACUGCAUUUGCAAAGGUCACAGAUCUGGACAUCUCCAACAAUGAAAUCAGUGGCCGAUUGCCAAGAAACAUGGAAUUCAUGUCACUGCAAUUGUUUUCCGUCAAUUCAAAUAAACUAACCGGUGAAAUCCCAAACUUACCAAGAAGUAUUACCUUCCUGGACAUGUCUGAAAACUCUUUAUCUGGAAUUUUGCCAUCAAACAUUGGGACUCCAGAAUUGAUUUCAUUAUUGCUGGUAUCCAAUCAGAUAACUGGUGGCAUUCCCAAAUCUCUUUGCAAAGCGGAAGCCUUGGUUCUAUUGGACUUGCGCAACAAUCUUUUCGAGGGACAACUUCCUCGGUGUUUUGGGGUGAAGAACAUUUACUUUCUCAUGUUGAGUAACAAUAGAUUCUCUGGCAACUUCCCACCAUUUCUAAAACAUUGGAGACAAUUGAGGUCUCUAGAUCUAUCACGCAAUAAUUUUUCCGGAAGGUUGCCAUCAUGUAUUGGAGAUUUGGUUGAAUUACGAUUUCUGCGGCUAAACCAGAAUAUGUUUUCCGGAGAAAUCCCGGGCACCAUCUCAAAUCUUAGUCACCUUCACCAUCUGAAUCUUGCAGGCAAUGGCUUAUCAGGUGCCAUACCACGGCAUCUGUCAAAUGUGACUGCCAUUAAAGUAUGUAAAUUCCACGGUUUACUCAGAAUUACCUUUUGGCAGUUACUUGGAUUUUUUCAGUCAACAUUAUUUUUCCUCUGUGGUCGUCAAGGGUCGUGA